RNAcentral lists this ribosomal RNA (253 nucleotides) under uncultured bacterium. RNAcentral's name for it is "partial 16S ribosomal RNA". It matches the Rfam family "Bacterial small subunit ribosomal RNA", at positions 524 to 776 of the family's 1533-position model. The record is from RNAcentral.
UACGUAGGGGGCAAGCGUUGUCCGGAAUUAUUGGGCGUAAAGAGCGCGUAGGCGGUCCGAUAAGUCGGCUGUGAAAGUCAGGGGCUCAACCCUUGGAAGCCGGCCGAUACUGUCGGCCUAGAGUCCGGAAGAGGCGAGUGGAAUUCCCGGUGUAGCGGUGAAAUGCGCAGAUAUCGGGAGGAACACCAAUGGCGAAGGCAGCUCGCUGGGACGGUACUGACGCUGAGACGCGAAAGCGUGGGGAGCAAACAGG